UACGGAGGGUGCAAGCGUUAUCCGGAUUCACUGGGCUUAAAGGGUGCGUAGGCGGGUCUGUAAGUCAGUGGUGAAAUCUUCGAGCUUAACUCGGAAACUGCCAUUGAUACUAUAGAUCUUGAAUUUUCUGGAGGUAAGCGGAAUAUGUCAUGUAGCGGUGAAAUGCUUAGAUAUGACAUAGAACACCAAUUGCGAAGGCAGCUUACUACGGGAACAUUGACACUGAGGCACGAAAGCGUGGGGAUCAAACAGG
RNAcentral lists this ribosomal RNA (253 nucleotides) under uncultured bacterium. Its description in RNAcentral is "partial 16S ribosomal RNA". It matches the Rfam family "Bacterial small subunit ribosomal RNA", at positions 524 to 776 of the family's 1533-position model. The record is from RNAcentral.